CGCCGUUGGUGAGGAUCCCGAGGCCGAGGGCGCUGAAGCCGUUCUCGUCGCGGAGGAUCGUGGCCACCAGCGGCAC
RNAcentral lists this transfer RNA (76 nucleotides) under Clavibacter michiganensis. Its description in RNAcentral is "tRNA-Phe". Lineage: Bacteria; Bacillati; Actinomycetota; Actinomycetes; Micrococcales; Microbacteriaceae. RNAcentral also lists the same sequence under 1 other name. The record is from RNAcentral.